This 439-nucleotide ribosomal RNA is filed under the name uncultured Turicibacter sp. RNAcentral describes it as "bacterial SSU rRNA". It matches the Rfam family "Bacterial small subunit ribosomal RNA", at positions 338 to 769 of the family's 1533-position model. The record is from RNAcentral. Lineage: Bacteria; Bacillati; Bacillota; Erysipelotrichia; Erysipelotrichales; Turicibacteraceae.
CCUACGGGAGGCAGCAGUAGGGAAUCUUCGGCAAUGGGCGAAAGCCUGACCGAGCAACGCCGCGUGAAUGAUGAAGGCCUUCGGGUUGUAAAAUUCUGUUAUAAGGGAAGAACGACUUUAGUAGGAAAUGGCUAGAGUGUGACGGUACCUUAUGAGAAAGCCACGGCUAACUACGUGCCAGCAGCCGCGGUAAUACGUAGGUGGCGAGCGUUAUCCGGAAUUAUUGGGCGUAAAGAGCGCGCAGGUGGUUGAUUAAGUCUGAUGUGAAAGCCCACGGCUUAACCGUGGAGGGUCAUUGGAAACUGGUCGACUUGAGUGCAGAAGAGGGAAGUGGAAUUCCAUGUGUAGCGGUGAAAUGCGUAGAGAUAUGGAGGAACACCAGUGGCGAAGGCGGCUUCCUGGUCUGUAACUGACACUGAGGCGCGAAAGCGUGGGGAGC